GUGAGGAAUAUUGGGCAAUGGGCGCAAGCCUGACCCAGCAACGCCGCGUGAAGGAAGACGGUCUUCGGAUUGUAAACUUCUUUUGUCAGGGACGAAUAAUGACGGUACCUGGCGAAUAAGCCACGGCUAACUACGUGCCAGCAGCCGCGGUAAUACGUAGGUGGCAAGCGUUGUCCGGAUUUACUGGGUGUAAAGGGCGAGUAGGCGGAUUUGCAAGUCAGGUGUGAAAGCCCGGGGCUUAACCCCGGGUCUGCAUUUGAAACUGCGGAUCUUGAGUAUCGGAGAGGCAGGCGGAAUUCCCGGUGUAGCGGUGGAAUGCGUAGAUAUCGGGAGGAACACCAGUGGCGAAGGCGGCCUGCUGGACGACAACUGACGCUGAGGAGCGAAAGCGUGGGGAGCAAACAGGAUUAGAUACCCCGGUAGUCC
RNAcentral lists this ribosomal RNA (426 nucleotides) under uncultured bacterium. RNAcentral's name for it is "partial 16S ribosomal RNA". It matches the Rfam family "Bacterial small subunit ribosomal RNA", at positions 354 to 796 of the family's 1533-position model. The record is from RNAcentral.